This 1728-nucleotide long non-coding RNA is filed under the name Pandoravirus celtis. Its description in RNAcentral is "hypothetical ncRNA". The record is from RNAcentral.
CUGCUGUCGUCAUCCAUACCAUCCAUGCUGUGGGUGCGGCGUCCAUCAAGGUCGGUGGCAGCGGCGACGGGCAAAAUCCACCGGGCAAAUCCAUCACGGCGUCCGUCGGCCUUGUCUCGCGCAAUCUCGGCGGCCGGCGCAAAGUGUCUGGUAUGGAACAAUGCAACGGCAGGCGUGGGGCAGUCCCUGUCGCUGUCGUCGACAGAACCAACGGCAGGGCGGCGAUCUGUCGGCAGGUCUGUCCAUGCUCUUUCGGCGGACCAACGCGGCACAGGGGGUGCGCGACGACGCGUGCGACGGCGCCGUGCGGGUCGCUCGGUAUCAUCGUCGUCAUCGUCGCUCUUGCCGCCGUCAUCUCUUGUGCUGUCGUCGGUUCUGGACGAGGUUGCGACGUCACGAGAGCGGGGGCGCUUGCGCGACGGUGCACUCGGUUGCGGCACAGUGGUCUCGGUCGCGCUGUCGCCAACGUGAUCAUCAUCGUCAUGAUCGUCGACGCCAUCGUCAUCGGACCCAUGGCUGAUAAUGGUCGGCGCGACGUGAGCGUCCGAGACCGAGUCUUGGUCGACGUCCGCGUCAACGCAGGGAGUCGAUGGUUCCUCCGAGAGCGGGUCCUCUUCACCCAGGCGGUAGGCGACUGGCGAUCCGGGUCCCGACGGCGCGGAAUCACAGAGGUGCGCCUUGUAUCGCACGGCCAACAGAGCCGCCGCCUCGUCGUCGGCGGGAUGCACGAUAUUCGCGACGACGUCGAUGAAUCUAGAGAGACGCGUGGUGUGGAUGCCCGACGUCCUGGUCUGUCGGCCGUGAUCGGAACCGGCCCUAGGUCGACCGGGAAGCAAUACACGGUCGAGUUGGCCCAUGCGUCGGCAGGCGGUGGCCAUCACGCGGCGCGUAACGGUGUGCUCGUCCCUGUCGCGUAGGUGGCUGGCCAUGGCGCGCACAAUGUCAAUGGCCGACAGCCAGUACCCGUCGGGCGACCGCCGUAUCAUACGGAUCGGCUCUCGGGGCAGGCUUGAAUCGGUGCCGCCGCGAUUCAAUUCUGCGCUAUGCACAAUGCAAGUGGGCGACUGGUCAGUGUCGUUGGCCCUGUAGACGGUCGUCGACAUGGGUCGCGUGGUCCGCUCACGACGGCGCGAACAAAGGGGUGUGUGGGAUCGCGCGGUGCGACUGGCCGAACCGCGCACGACAACAGACAGGGGUUUCGUCGAGUCGUGGCGUGCUAGCGCUUCGACCACCUGCAUCCGCACAUCGAAAUGAUAACGCCGAUGAUGAGACGUGGUCAAACAUGGACGGCAAAGACAUGUAUGCAUAUAUACAAAAAAAGGUAUACAAUAAUUUAAAAAAAGGGAAAAAGGCGACGGGGGAACCUUGUCGCCGGCGGCGAGCACGGUGCCAUGUGAAUCGGUGAGAUCGUGGCCGACGAUGGUGGAUGUGGCAGUCGAGGCGAAAUGCAGGGCAGGACGGGCUGGAUACUUUUUCGCGUGGACCAUGGCAAUGCGCUUGUGGAGGAGCGCCACGGUGGCGUCCUUGGGGAGGCCCUUGACCGACACGAGCGCCGGCCGCGCCGCCGUACCGCCUCCGUUGACCUCGACCGUGUAUUCAAGCGUCCCAAAGGCCGGCUUCAUGCUGUCUGUCUGUCUGUCGUCGGGUGUGUCCCUGUAUCUUUUUUUGGGCGGGCGAUCCACGAGUGAUGAGAACAAAAUCGGAUGUUGUCGGUCCCCUCGAUUGGCU